UACGAAGGGGGCUAGCGUUGCUCGGAAUCACUGGGCGUAAAGCGCACGUAGGCGGCUUUUUAAGUCAGGGGUGAAAUCCUGGAGCUCAACUCCAGAACUGCCUUUGAUACUGAGAGCUUGAGUCCGGGAGAGGUGAGUGGAACUGCGAGUGUAGAGGUGAAAUUCGUAGAUAUUCGCAAGAACACCAGUGGCGAAGGCGGCUCACUGGCCCGGUACUGACGCUGAGGCACGAAAGCGUGGGGAGCAAACAGG
Molecule: ribosomal RNA, 252 nt
Filed under: uncultured bacterium
Lineage: Bacteria
Description: partial 16S ribosomal RNA
Rfam family: Bacterial small subunit ribosomal RNA
Source: RNAcentral